RNAcentral lists this ribosomal RNA (428 nucleotides) under uncultured bacterium. RNAcentral's name for it is "bacterial SSU rRNA". It matches the Rfam family "Bacterial small subunit ribosomal RNA", at positions 354 to 796 of the family's 1533-position model. The record is from RNAcentral.
GUGGGGAAUAUUGGGCAAUGGGGGAAACCCUGACCCAGCAACGCCGCGUGAGGGAAGAAGGUCUUCGGAUUGUAAACCUUUGUCCUAUGGGACGAAAGAAAUGACGGUACCAUAGGAGGAAGCUCCGGCUAACUACGUGCCAGCAGCCGCGGUAAUACGUAGGGAGCAAGCGUUGUCCGGAAUUACUGGGCGUAAAGGGUGCGUAGGUGGUCAUGUAAGUCAGAUGUGAAAGACCGGGGCUUAACCCCGGGGUUGCAUUUGAAACUGUGUGACUUGAGUACAGGAGAGGGAAGUGGAAUUCCUAGUGUAGCGGUGAAAUGCGUAGAUAUUAGGAGGAACACCAGUGGCGAAGGCGACUUUCUGGACUGUAACUGACACUGAGGCACGAAAGCGUGGGGAGCAAACAGGAUUAGAAACCCGAGUAGUCC